AUAGAGCAGUAACAUGUAUUUAUUAAAAAAAAAGACAAACGGAGUAAUUCCGAAAAUGCCAUGGCGUCAUGCGUGGGCGCAGGAUGAGUAAAACCGUUCUAAAUUUCCGGGCCGUCUGAAAAUCGAAAAAAUUCCAUCGACUCUUACCUGUAGGACCUGUUCAUCCGUUGCGUCAGCAUUGAAAACAGGACAAUACCGUCUGCUUCCGGAUAUUUCAACACCAUAAUAGGUCGCUGUGACAUCGGGGCAACUGCGAAAUUUCGAACGGACUACAUUUGGAAAGAAAGAAAUUUUGACAAUAGGCGUACGUCAAGUUUAUCGUGUACUCCUGCGAUUAUCGUUCGAAAUAAAGGGCCACAACUUCCCGAUUCACUUUUCGGAAAAAACUAGCGUCAAGCAAGCGGCACCGAUUACGUACUAUUCUCACCAUCGUGUAGAGGCGACAGCAUGGGCAUGGGGGAGGCCGUUUGCCCCUGGGUCUUGUCUUUCAGUGCUGUUAUGUUGGAUUUUUUUGAUCGCUGCACCGAGACUGAGCCACGUAAGCGUCGCGGCGCGAAUCGAUGUCGUCGAACCGGCGCAAUGCCACGGACAUAUCGAUCAGCACAAUGCAAUGCGACAAUUAUUUUUAUCGCGAACGCCACUGUUCUCGCCCGUUCAAUGGUGAAAUUAUGUUAGCACGCCCCCGACAUCAUUUUCCGCACCUUCGAACGCGCAUUUUUAGACCUUUGAAAUUUCUAGAACGUAAUCGCGACCAUGUGAAAAUUAGUUUCGAUUAAAACAUGAAAAUUAUCACGGGACGGCAUAUGUACUUUUGGUAAAUACGGUUCAUGCAAAUUGCGUCAUCCGUUCGUAAUUUAAAAAUCGUGCAAUUACGUUGUUUCCAUGCGAUAAAUUUAAGUGGACGAUAAAGUAAUACUCACCUUUGUGGCUUACUAAAGUCAUAUAAGAUGGUAGCGCCCUUCUGGACGAGACCUCCCACACAAGCAAAAACAAAAUAAAACGUCGUUCCCAAAGAUACGAGUGGAAAAAUUCUGCACGCUUGGAAUUACUGAAAAAGAAAAGGAUCAAUCAGUUAUUUCGCCGACGAGUAUUUUUAGCAACAUAAAAUAAUAAUAAAAAUAUAUGGACGGAGCUAGUAACGUGAUCUCACCUUCUAUUUGAAGCGUUUUCCACGUACCAUCUAUUAUCGAAUUAACGUUCAAAUAGCAAAAAUAUCUUACGUUAAACUACUAUUCUAAAUGAAAGGCCAAUUUUAUGGAAUAAAGUGACUGAAUUUUAA
Molecule: long non-coding RNA, 1279 nt
Organism: Zophobas morio
Lineage: Eukaryota; Metazoa; Arthropoda; Insecta; Coleoptera; Tenebrionidae
Exons: 2
Source: RefSeq, a predicted model, not a curated record